Molecule: transfer RNA, 74 nt
Filed under: Chitinivibrionales bacterium
Lineage: Bacteria; Pseudomonadati; Fibrobacterota; Chitinivibrionia; Chitinivibrionales
Description: tRNA-Arg
Rfam family: tRNA
About the family: Transfer RNA (tRNA) molecules are approximately 80 nucleotides in length. Their secondary structure includes four short double-helical elements and three loops (D, anti-codon, and T loops).
Source: RNAcentral
GCGCCCAUAGCUCAGUUGGAUAGAGCAACGGAUUUCUAAUCCGUAGGUCGGAGGUUCGAAUCCUCCUGGGCGUG